Molecule: ribosomal RNA, 433 nt
Filed under: uncultured bacterium
Lineage: Bacteria
Description: partial 16S ribosomal RNA
Rfam family: Bacterial small subunit ribosomal RNA
Source: RNAcentral
AGCGAACGCUGGCGGCAUGCCUAACACAUGCAAGUCGAACGGGCGGACAUGAAAGUGGCGGUCGUGCGGGUAGCGCGUAGCAACGGGGUCAGAGGUGGAGGACAACCCCGUGAUACUGGGGCUAUUACGGCAGAUGGGCUGAGGUCCAAAGGCGUAGGGCGCGCUUGGGGGGGCGUGAGUCCGAUUAGGUGGUUGGGGUGGUAAAGGCCUACGAAGCCUUGGAUCGGUAGCUGGUCUCAGAGGCCGGCCAGCCACACUGGGACGGAGACACGGCCGAGACUCCUACGGGAUGCAGGAGAGGGGAAUACUGGAAAAUGGCGUGAGGGAUGAUGCAGCUAGGCCGGGUGAGUGAAGAAGGUCUGCGGGACGUAAAGCCCUUUCGACGGGGACGAUGAUGACGGUACCCGAAGAAGAAGCCCCGGCUAACUUCGUG